RNAcentral lists this long non-coding RNA (981 nucleotides) under Oryzias sinensis (Chinese medaka). RNAcentral describes it as "lncRNA (ENSOSIG00000017372.1)". The record is from RNAcentral. Lineage: Eukaryota; Metazoa; Chordata; Actinopteri; Beloniformes; Adrianichthyidae.
UCGCUAAAUCACUGGGCUGUGCUCAUCGGCCAUAAACAUGUCACUGCUGAACUGGGUCAUUCCUCUGCGAGCGUGCACAUCAAAGCUGGCUCUAAACAGACAGAGGCUGACCGUCAGCUCAAACCUCAUCAGGACAAAAAGGAAAAUCUGUAUUCUACGUUUUCUAACAACCACAAAAAAAAACUAAGAAUUGAUCCUGAACAGUUUCCGUGAGUUUUGUCGUCAUUCACAGGAUGCAAAUUCACUGUGAUUCCAGUGAAAAUAUUGCAAUUUUAAAAAUCCACUUCAAUGAAUUGUAACAUGUUGUUGUGGCAUUUCUCUGUUGCAGGACAUAUAUAAAAAUAAAUAUAAAAGAUUUAAAUGGACUUUUACAGUAUUUCUUUAUUCAAACCAUUGUGAAUGAAGAGAAGACGAAAAAAUACUGUCUAAAAAAGUUCGUCUGUCCGUUUUCCUCGUCUGGUACCAAACUGUACGGCUGGAGAGCUCCAACAUUGGUCACCAUUUUUGCUGCACUGGUAAUGUUAGUUUGGAGUUGUGAGGGCUGUAAGCUAGCGAGUAUUAACAAAAGGAUCAUGGGAAAUUAGGCCAGGUGUGUGCAAGCAAUCCUGCCCACAACUCAAAGGUGAAUUUCUAACAAACUACUGCCGCUCUGCAGAAACUAUGUCCAACAAAACUGCACUUUAAUUUCUUUUUUCUUUUGACUAAAACUGGGAAUGCUUUCUAAAAUAAAUCCAAAAAAUGAUCAAAGUUGGUCUUCUAACCCUUGUGCUAUCCUAGGCACUUUAACAUUGGGAGUUGGGUCAUCUAGACCCACUAGACAGUGCGCUGAACCCUUUUUUCUUCAAUGAUUUGUGAUCCUCACUGGUGUCCAUGGAUUACAUGAAAUCUUUCCACCUUUAUCCACCUUUGUCAUGGUAGGGAGAACACGUCGAUGUAAGGGUGGGGUCAUCUAAGAUAGCAUAAGGGGAACAUUUUCUUCGG